UAAAAGUUAGUUAAUUUAUAUAACAUUAAAUUGUCAAUUUAAAAUAAUUUUAAUUAAUAAAUACUUUUAA
Molecule: transfer RNA, 70 nt
Filed under: Characopygus scythicus
Lineage: Eukaryota; Metazoa; Arthropoda; Insecta; Hymenoptera; Cephidae
Description: tRNA-Asp
Source: RNAcentral